GAUUUGACUUUGGAGUAGAAAACGGAUGCAAAAUAGCAUUUUUUUUUUUGUGUCAUAUAUGAAGAUGUUCUGCUGCCAAGCUCUGUUGCGAGUUUAUCUAGAAAUGGUCAUAAUUUCUGGACACAGUGUUACCAGAAGUGUACUGGAAAACCAGAAAUAGUCCAGGGAAAUGCAACCAAAGUGAUACUGGAGAAGGCUGCAGGUUCAGUGCAUGGACAAUGCGUCUUUGUUUUGCAUGUGUCUGCAGGUCAAGGCAUCAAACCUCAAGAAAUCUCUGACCACUGAAAGACGCAAGGAGAUAUUUCUGAUCCAUAUUCAGCUCCCACCAAAUGAAGUACCUGAAUUAGGAGUGUGAUUGUGCUGAAAUUGCUGGGAGCGAAGAGGAACCUUCACCUACAACCUUUACAGAAGGGUCUGCUCAUCCACACCGCUGCGUCCUGCUGCUGUCAGGUCCCUGCAUCCAGGAGCCCCUUCCCCGUUUUGUCACCUUCACUCACACCAACCGGGGCAGCUCGCAACAGUCGGCGUGAACCUGACGUCCGGACCAGCCCUGGUGGGUGGAUGAGGGCAGAUCCACAGGCUGAGCCCCGGCCUGGUGACAUGGAGCUGCUGCCUUGCGAGGCAGGGCUGCUUCGUGAUGGCUCUGAAACCUCCAAGAGAGCAAACCUGCAUUCUGCAAACCACCCCCAUUGUUCCGCCUAUAGCUGGUGUCCUAACAUACCUUUAGCCUGUCAUAUAAAUUAUUGACCAUGUUCCUGAACACACUAAAAUAAAUCCAUCGCUGUGCU
Long non-coding RNA from Nothoprocta perdicaria, 788 nucleotides. RefSeq lists it as uncharacterized. The transcript is spliced from 2 exons. The record is from RefSeq and is a predicted model, not a curated record. Lineage: Eukaryota; Metazoa; Chordata; Aves; Tinamiformes; Tinamidae.